AUUGAACGCUGGCGGCAGGCCUAACACAUGCAAGUCGAGCGGAUGAAGGGAGCUUGCUCCUGGAUUCAGCGGCGGACGGGUGAGUAAUGCCUAGGAAUCUGCCUGGUAGUGGGGGAUAACGUCCGGAAACGGGCGCUAAUACCGCACACGUCCUGAGGGAGAAAGUGGGGGAUCUUCGGACCUCACGCUAUCAGAUGAGCCUAGGUCGGAUUAGCUAGUUGGUGGGGUAAAGGCCUACCAAGGCGACGAUCCGUAACUGGUCUGAGAGGAUGAUCAGUCACACUGGAACUGAGACACGGUCCAGACUCCUACGGGAGGCAGCAGUGGGGAAUAUUGGACAAUGGGCGAAAGCCUGAUCCAGCCAUGCCGCGUGUGUGAAGAAGGUCUUCGGAUUGCAAAGCACUUUAAGUUGGGAGGAAGGGCAGUAAGUUAAUACCUUGCUGUUUUGACGUUACCAACAGAAUAAGCACCGGCUAACUUCGUG
RNAcentral lists this ribosomal RNA (484 nucleotides) under uncultured bacterium. RNAcentral's name for it is "partial 16S ribosomal RNA". It matches the Rfam family "Bacterial small subunit ribosomal RNA", at positions 30 to 507 of the family's 1533-position model. The record is from RNAcentral.